CCUCUCAUGGCGUAGUGGUAACGCGCCCCAACUAGAGAUCGGGGAGUCGUGAGUUCUAUUCUCACUGAGAAGA
This is a non-coding RNA of Aedes aegypti (yellow fever mosquito), 73 nucleotides long. The record is from Rfam. NCBI's taxonomy places the organism in Eukaryota, Metazoa, Arthropoda, Insecta, Diptera, Culicidae.